CACGUAGGGUGCGAGCGUUGUCCGGAAUUAUUGGGCGUAAAGAGCUCGUAGGCGGUGUGUCGCGUCGGCCGUGAAAACCUGCAGCUUAACUGUGGGCUUGCGGUCGAUACGGGCUGACUAGAGUUCGGCAGGGGAGACUGGAAUUCCUGGUGUAGCGGUGAAAUGCGCAGAUAUCAGGAGGAGCACCGGUGGCGAAGGCGGGUCUCUGGGCCGAUACUGACGCUGAGGAGCGAAAGCGUGGGGAGCGAACAGG
Molecule: ribosomal RNA, 253 nt
Filed under: uncultured bacterium
Lineage: Bacteria
Description: partial 16S ribosomal RNA
Rfam family: Bacterial small subunit ribosomal RNA
Source: RNAcentral